GGCGAACGCUGGCGGCGUGCUUAACACAUGCAAGUCGAACGGAAAGGCCCUGCUUUUGUGGGGUGCUCGAGUGGCGAACGGGUGAGUAACACGUGAGUAACCUGCCCUUGACUUUGGGAUAACUUCAGGAAACUGGGGCUAAUACCGGAUAGGAGCUCCUGCUGCAUGGUGGGGGUUGGAAAGUUUCGGCGGUUGGGGAUGGACUCGCGGCUUAUCAGCUUGUUGGUGGGGUAGUGGCUUACCAAGGCUUUGACGGGUAGCCGGCCUGAGAGGGUGACCGGCCACAUUGGGACUGAGAUACGGCCCAGACUCCUACGGGAGGCAGCAGUGGGGAAUAUUGCACAAUGGGCGGAAGCCUGAUGCAGCAACGCCGCGUGCGGGAUGACGGCCUUCGGGUUGUAAACCGCUUUCGCCUGUGACGAAGCGUGAGUGACGGUAAUGGGUAAAGAAGCACCGGCUAACUACGUGCCAGCAGCCGCGGCGAUACGUAGGGUGCGAGCGUUGUCCGGAAUUACUGGGCGUAAAGGGCUCGUAGGUGGUUUGUCGCGUCGUCUGUGAAAUUCUGGGGCUUAACUCCGGGCGUGCAGGCGAUACGGGCAUAACUUGAGUGCUGUAGGGGUAACUGGAAUUCCUGGUGUAGCGGUGAAAUGCGCAGAUAUCAGGAGGAACACCGAUGGCGAAGGCAGGUUACUGGGCAGUUACUGACGCUGAGGAGCGAAAGCAUGGGUAGCGAACAGGAUUAGAUACCCUGGUAGUCCAUGCCGUAAACGGUGGGCGCUAGGUGUGAGGGUCUUUCUACGACUUUCGUGCCGUAGCUAACGCAUUAAGCGCCCCGCCUGGGGAGUACGGCCGCAAGGCUAAAACUCAAAGGAAUUGACGGGGGCCCGCACAAGCGGCGGAGCAUGUGGAUUAAUUCGAUGCAACGCGAAGAACCUUACCUGGGCUUGACAUACAUCAGAUCGCUGCAGAGAUGUAGUUUCCCUUUGUGGUUGGUGUACAGGUGGUGCAUGGUUGUCGUCAGCUCGUGUCGUGAGAUGUUGGGUUAAGUCCCGCAACGAGCGCAACCCUUGUCUUAUGUUGCCAGCAUUUGGUUGGGGACUCAUGAGAGACUGCCGGGGUUAACUCGGAGGAAGGUGGGGAUGACGUCAAAUCAUCAUGCCCCUUAUGUCCAGGGCUUCACACAUGCUACAAUGGUCGGUACAAUGCGCUGCGACACUGUGAGGUGGAGCGAAUCGCUGAAAGCCGGUCUUAGUUCGGAUUGGGGUCUGCAACUCGACCCCAUGAAGUCGGAGUCGCUAGUAAUCGCAGAUCAGCAAUGCUGCGGUGAAUACGUUCCCGGGCCU
RNAcentral lists this ribosomal RNA (1343 nucleotides) under uncultured bacterium. RNAcentral describes it as "bacterial SSU rRNA". It matches the Rfam family "Bacterial small subunit ribosomal RNA", at positions 28 to 1381 of the family's 1533-position model. The record is from RNAcentral.